UGAAGAGUUUGAUCAUGGCUCAGAUUGAACGCUGGCGGCAGGCCUAACACAUGCAAGUCGAACGGUAACAGGAAGCAGCUUGCUGCUUUGCUGACGAGUGGCGGACGGGUGAGUAAUGUCUGGGAAACUGCCUGAUGGAGGGGGAUAACUACUGGAAACGGUGGCUAAUACCGCAUAACGUCGCAAGACCAAAGAGGGGGACCUUCGGGCCUCUUGCCAUCAGAUGUGCCCAGAUGGGAUUAGCUUGUUGGUGAGGUAACGGCUCACCAAGGCGACGAUCCCUAGCUGGUCUGAGAGGAUGACCAGCCACACUGGAACUGAGACACGGUCCAGACUCCUACGGGAGGCAGCAGUGGGGAAUAUUGCACAAUGGGCGCAAGCCUGAUGCAGCCAUGCCGCGUGUAUGAAGAAGGCCUUCGGGUUGUAAAGUACUUUCAGCGGGGAGGAAGGUGUUGUGGUUAAUAACCGCAGCAAUUGACGUUACCCGCAGAAGAAGCACCGGCUAACUCCGUGCCAGCAGCCGCGGUAAUACGGAGGGUGCAAGCGUUAAUCGGAAUUACUGGGCGUAAAGCGCACGCAGGCGGUCUGUCAAGUCGGAUGUGAAAUCCCCGGGCUCAACCUGGGAACUGCAUUCGAAACUGGCAGGCUUGAGUCUUGUAGAGGGGGGUAGAAUUCCAGGUGUAGCGGUGAAAUGCGUAGAGAUCUGGAGGAAUACCGGUGGCGAAGGCGGCCCCCUGGACAAAGACUGACGCUCAGGUGCGAAAGCGUGGGGAGCAAACAGGAUUAGAUACCCUGGUAGUCCACGCCGUAAACGAUGUCUACUUGGAGGUUGUGCCCUUGAGGCGUGGCUUCCGGAGCUAACGCGUUAAGUAGACCGCCUGGGGAGUACGGCCGCAAGGUUAAAACUCAAAUGAAUUGACGGGGGCCCGCACAAGCGGUGGAGCAUGUGGUUUAAUUCGAUGCAACGCGAAGAACCUUACCUGGUCUUGACAUCCACGGAAGUUUUCAGAGAUGAGAAUGUGCCUUCGGGAACCGUGAGACAGGUGCUGCAUGGCUGUCGUCAGCUCGUGUUGUGAAAUGUUGGGUUAAGUCCCGCAACGAGCGCAACCCUUAUCCUUUGUUGCCAGCGGUCCGGCCGGGAACUCAAAGGAGACUGCCAGUGAUAA
Molecule: ribosomal RNA, 1166 nt
Filed under: Salmonella enterica
Lineage: Bacteria; Pseudomonadati; Pseudomonadota; Gammaproteobacteria; Enterobacterales; Enterobacteriaceae
Also listed under: 1 other name
Description: bacterial SSU rRNA
Rfam family: Bacterial small subunit ribosomal RNA
Source: RNAcentral